This 504-nucleotide ribosomal RNA is filed under the name uncultured Lactobacillus sp. RNAcentral's name for it is "partial 16S ribosomal RNA". The record is from RNAcentral. Lineage: Bacteria; Bacillati; Bacillota; Bacilli; Lactobacillales; Lactobacillaceae.
CACGUAGUUAGCCGUGACUUUCUGGUUGAUUACCGGCAAAUAAUGAGCAGUUACUCUCACUAUCUUUCUUCACCAACAACAGAGCUUUACGAUCCGAAAACCUUCUUCACUCACGCGGCGUUGCUCCAUCAGACUUGCGUCCAUUGUGGAAGAUUCCCUACUGCUGCCUCCCGUAGGAGUUUGGGCCGUGUCUCAGUCCCAAUGUGGCCGAUCAGUCUCUCAACUCGGCUAUGCAUCGUUGCCUUGGUAAGCCGUUACCUUACCAACUAGCUAAUGCACCGCGGGUCCAUCCUUUAGCGACAGCUUACGCCGCCUUUCAAAAAGAAUCAUGUGAUCUCUCCUUUAUCCGGUAUUAGCACCUGUUCCAAGUGGUAUCCCAGACUAUAGGGUAGUUACCCAGUGUUACUCACCCAUCCCGCCGCUCGCUUCCCUAACUUCAUACCCGAAGGUAAUCAAUUGUUCGGCUCGCUCGACUUGCAUGUAUUAGGCACGCCGCAGCGUUCG